Non-coding RNA from Pelobates cultripes (western spadefoot toad), 322 nucleotides. The record is from the annotation of a GenBank genome assembly. NCBI's taxonomy places the organism in Eukaryota, Metazoa, Chordata, Amphibia, Anura, Pelobatidae.
UUGUGGCAGGCUUAUGCAAUGUAUGAUCAUAUAAUGUAACUAAAUCCCCAUUAUUUUCUGCCUAGAUUAGGUGUUUUUUAAACAAAACCUUUAGAAAAAACUUUAAAAAAACUAAUAAAAUCUGCCAACAAGUUGCUGUUUAGUAGAUAGGAGAGUGCGCUGGAUCUUGUGUAUUGUUGACUGCACCUACCAUGGUGACCACGAGUAACGGGGAAUCAGGGUUCGAUUCCGUACCGGGACCCUGACAAACGGCUAGCACAUGCAAGGAAGGCAGCAGGUGCGCAAAUGACCCACUCCCGACGCGGGAAGGUAGUGACGACAA